This 442-nucleotide ribosomal RNA is filed under the name uncultured bacterium. RNAcentral's name for it is "SSU rRNA". It matches the Rfam family "Bacterial small subunit ribosomal RNA", at positions 26 to 518 of the family's 1533-position model. The record is from RNAcentral.
AGAGCGAACGCUGGCGGCAGGCCUAACACAUGCAAGUCGAGCGCCCCGCAAGGGGAGCGGCAGACGGGAGAGUAACACGUGGGAACGUACCCUUCAGUUCGGAACAACCCAGGGAAACUUGGGCUAAUACCGGAUACGUCCGUAAGGAGAAAGAUUUAUCGCUGAAGGAUCGGCCCGCGUCUGAUUAGCUUGUUGGUGAGGUAACGGCUCACCAAGGCUACGAUCAGUAGCUGGUCUGAGAGGAUGAUCAGCCUCACUGGGACUGAGACACGGCCCAGACUCCUACGGGAGGCAGUAGUGGGGAAUAUUGGACAAUGGGCGCAAGCCUGAUCCAGCCAUGCCGCGUGGGUGAUGAAGGCCCUAGGGUUGUAAAGCCCUUUCGGCGGGGAAGAUAAUGACGGUACCGCAGAAGAAGCCCGGCUAACUUCGUGCCAGCAGCCGC